Long non-coding RNA from Gavialis gangeticus (Gharial), 729 nucleotides. RefSeq lists it as uncharacterized. The transcript is spliced from 3 exons. The record is from RefSeq and is a predicted model, not a curated record. NCBI's taxonomy places the organism in Eukaryota, Metazoa, Chordata, Crocodylia, Gavialidae.
AGCGGUAACAGAACACAAAGCCCGAUGUGGACAAGACAGUGUCAUUGGUUCGGAUCUUGUGGCAGAGUGGACACACUGUCUUCAGUUUUGAUGAGUACCACCAGUCCAGAAACUGCAGGAAGAACACACCCACAGAGAGACCAGUGGACAGAGAGAAGGCAACACCUCCCAAUGCUUUCUUCACUGCUGCAUGCACUUGUUCCUUGAUGCUGUAUCAGGGAGAUGAGAUCUAGGUUUACUGCAUUUCUGAGGUAGAAGAACUUAGGACAAGAGACAACAGGACCUUUCACCCAGGGAUCUGUGUUUCAGAAGGCUCAGGUUAGCAGUACCCAAAAUUCAUUGCUGUCUGAAUAAGGCAAGUUGCUCAUCUGAACAGAUAAUUGAUGCCAUCAAUCUCCCUUGGUACCAGCCUCAGAAAUGCCAUCGAGUGCUGAAUAGGUCAGAGACCAACUAUCCUUGCAUGUUUCCAGCCAGGCAGCUCUGCAAUUAACUUCAACAAGAAGUCUAGGAAACUAUUUCAUUUAUAUUUAAAGUGCAUUAUGACCUUCCCUCUUAAUCUCUAACACUGAUGGUUUCAUUUCACAGAACCAUCUGUGAAAAGAGAGAACCUGAAACAUUCCCACAAAGCACUGCAAAAGCUCUAUGUUGAAUGUGUUAGACCAGGAGUGUUUAUAAACUCCAGCACACAGGCCAAAUGUGGCCAUGGAGCCAUGGCAUCUGGCCCAUGGG